AUUUGCACAUAUUAUCUUUAAACCAAUCACGAACAUUUGUUAUAAAUAAAUCAAAAUCCCAUAUAAUGCAGAUUUAAUUCAUAUUAAUUUGCACAAAUGUAUUCCUAAUAGAGACAUUGCAGUGAUUUAAUUUGCUCUAAAAUGACUUUACAGUUAUUUUGCACCGACAUAAGAAAUUUUAAACGUAUAAUAUGUGCCACUGCAUAAUUAGUCCAUUUAUUCUGAAAAGAGAAAAUAGAGUCAUGAAGCAAAACAAGAAGACAGGACAUGAAAAUCGCAAUCUGCAUAAAUGACUGAAUUCAUUCUCUUUUUAUAAGCUAUUCACUUUUCAUCCUUUCUCAAUAGUUGAACCAAUUUCAUUCUCUCUCUCUUAUUAUUGAGCCCAUUUCAUUGCUCUCUGUCAAUUUCAUUUCUCUUGAAGAGUGAAUCUAUAAACAAGCACCACAAAAAUCUAGUAUGUUUAAGAAGAUAAAAUCGUCCAAAUUCAAAGAGCUCUUCAUAUGGAUCCUUAAAAUUUACAUGCAAAUUUCUAUUUAUAAUGCUAAGAGUUUUUUUUAAAAAAUCUUAUUGUUAAGAAUGGAGAAAAAAUGAAAAAUCAUUUAUUGCAUUUUGAUCAAUUAAAAGUCAACAUUUAAUCAGUAUUCUCUUCCUCUCUCUUAAGCAUUUCAUCAAACAUUUAUCUAGUUCCAUUCACCUUUUCGAAGCAACAUUUUGAUCAUAAUAUGUAAGGAAAAUAAGCUCAAUCUAAAACUCAAAUUACAAAAAAUCUGAAGUUCAAACAUAUAUAGGUAAACACCUGUCAAAGGAUUUUUGCCAAAGAAUAUGAGCCAAUAAUAUGCAACCAAAUUAAAAACAUAAUCGAGCAGAAUGUCAAGAUAUGUCAUAUCGAAAAUUUAAAAUAAUUAAUAGAAACUUUAAAUUCAUCCCAGAAAUGCUAUGAAAUGGAUACGUCAAAAGAAAGUCAAAAUCCUAACAAAAGCACCAUUUUAUUUGAUUUUUCUUCAAUCUUGUUCUUUUACAUUUCAUAGUUGGAAUAUGGGACAAUGCGAAGGACAGAAAUUUCUUGACCCUUUUUUCUAUUAGGUUCUUAGCUAGCUUCUUGUUGCCCUUAACAUAAUAAUAUUGUAUUCUUGGAUUGAUUAAGAAAAUUUGAAAUAACAUAUAUAAAGAGAUAGGAAGAGAAGAGUUGAACUGAUGAAGAGAGGGGGGGAUUUCGGAGAUUGAUUUGUAGUGAUGAAAAAAUGAUAAUAAUAAAAAAAAUGUCAAUGCUUCGCACAAUCCGGAGAGUUCACUAAAGUAAACUAUCGGCACAUUUCGAAGGGUCGAAAGUAACCCUCCGAGAGUUGGAGACUUGGACUCUCCGAAGUCCGAACUAUGCAAAUGAUUUUUUUUAAUUCUCUAAGGAAAAAUACGCUAUUAUUAAUUUAUAUUUUCUAUCACCAGAAGGUAUUCAUGAACAACUUAAUUUAAAAACUUCAUAGAAUUAGGAAAUCAAAGAGGAAAUUAACUUCUAGGAUUCAACAAAUUUGAUAAUCACUUAAUAGAUUCUACCAGAAAUUUCAUAUUUCUACUUUUUUCUUUUUAAAAAAAAGAAGCUAAAAUAAAAAAAAAAUUGCUAAAAGUAAAUAUAAAAAAGAAAAAAAAAUCUUUCGCACAGUUCGAAAAGUUCAAGUGAACUCUCUACACAAUUUGGAGAUUUCACAUGUACUCUCCGCAUUGUGCGGAGGGUUGCUUCCAACCCUCCGCACAGAGUGGAGAGUUCAAAGAGUUCACUUGAACUCUCCGCACAUUUCGAAGAGUUCACGUGAACUCUUCGACUAUGCGGAGGGUUCAAGUGAACUCUCCGCAUUGUGUGCGGAUGAGUUUUUUUAUAUUUAAUUUUCUAUGGUUUUCUAACUUACAGAGGAAAAUACAUUAUUAUUAAUCUAUAUUUUCUAUUCUCAAAAGGUAUUCGUAAACAACUUAAUUUAAAAACUUCAUAGAAUUAGGAAAUCAAAGAGGAAUCUAACUUUUAGGAUUCAAGAAAUUUGUCUACUUAAAAAAAAAACAAAAAUAAAAAAAAUUGCUAAAAGUAAUAAAAAAAAAAAAAAAAAAAAACUCCCCUGCAUAGUUCGAAGAGCUCACUUGACCCUUCUAUGAACUCUCCACACAGUGCAAAGAAUUCACUUGAACCCUCCGCAUUAUGUGGAGGAGUGUUUUUUUUUUUU
Molecule: long non-coding RNA, 2207 nt
Filed under: Olea europaea subsp. europaea
Lineage: Eukaryota; Viridiplantae; Streptophyta; Magnoliopsida; Lamiales; Oleaceae
Source: RNAcentral